Molecule: ribosomal RNA, 354 nt
Filed under: bacterium LimC-100-J-144
Lineage: Bacteria
Also listed under: 7 other names
Description: bacterial SSU rRNA
Rfam family: Bacterial small subunit ribosomal RNA
Source: RNAcentral
GACCUGAGAGGGUGAUCGGCCACACUGGGACUGAGACACGGCCCAGACUCCUACGGGAGGCAGCAGUAGGGAAUCUUCCGCAAUGGACGAAAGUCUGACGGAGCAACGCCGCGUGAGUGAUGAAGGUUUUCGGAUCGUAAAGCUCUGUUGUUAGGGAAGAACAAGUGCAAGAGUAACUGCUUGCACCUUGACGGUACCUAACCAGAAAGCCACGGCUAACUACGUGCCAGCAGCCGCGGUAAUACGUAGGUGGCAAGCGUUGUCCGGAAUUAUUGGGCGUAAAGGGCUCGCAGGCGGUUUCUUAAGUCUGAUGUGAAAGCCCCCGGCUCAACCGGGGAGGGUCAUUGGAAACUG